UACGGAGGGGGCGAGCGUUGUUCGGAAUCAUUGGGCGUAAAGGGCGCGUAGGCGGCCGAUCAAGUCGGAUGUGAAAUCCCUCGGCUCAACCGAGGAACUGCACUCGAUACUGGUUGGCUAGAGUCCGGGAGGGGAUAGCGGAAUUCCCAGUGUAGCGGUGAAAUGCGUAGAUAUCUGGAGGAACACCGGUGGCGAAGGCGGCAUCCUGGACCAACACUGACGCUGAGGAACGAAAGCCAGGGGAGCAAACGGG
Molecule: ribosomal RNA, 253 nt
Filed under: uncultured bacterium
Lineage: Bacteria
Description: partial 16S ribosomal RNA
Rfam family: Bacterial small subunit ribosomal RNA
Source: RNAcentral